UACGGAGGGCGCAAGCGGUGUUCGGAAUCACUGGGCGUAAAGCGCGUGUAGGCGGCUCUGCAAGUCGGGUGUGAAAUCCCGAGGCUCAACCUCGGAACUGCACUCGAUACUGCUUGGCUCGAGUCCCGGAGAGGGUGGCGGAAUUCCCGGUGUAGGGGUGAAAUCCGUAGAUAUCGGGAGGAACACCAGUGGCGAAGGCGGCCACCUGGACGGUGACUGACGCUGAGACGCGAAAGCGUGGGGAGCAAACAGG
Molecule: ribosomal RNA, 253 nt
Filed under: uncultured bacterium
Lineage: Bacteria
Description: partial 16S ribosomal RNA
Rfam family: Bacterial small subunit ribosomal RNA
Source: RNAcentral